RNAcentral lists this ribosomal RNA (253 nucleotides) under uncultured bacterium. Its description in RNAcentral is "partial 16S ribosomal RNA". It matches the Rfam family "Bacterial small subunit ribosomal RNA", at positions 524 to 776 of the family's 1533-position model. The record is from RNAcentral.
UACGUAGGGAGCAAGCGUUGUCCGGAAUCAUUGGGCGUAAAGCGCGCGUAGGUGGCCUCGUAAGUCCGCUGUGAAAGUCAAAGGCUCAACCUUUGAAAGCCGGUGGAUACUGUGAGGCUAGAGCACGGAAGAGGCGAGUGGAAUUCCUGGUGUAGCGGCGGAAUGCGCAGAUAUCAGGAGGAACACCAAUAGCGAAGGCAGCUCGCUGGGACGUUACUGACGCUGAGACGCGAAAGCGUGGGGAGCAAACAGG